GCUUUCAAGGGACACAGCUCUUUAGGAGGACAUUAAAGAACAAGCAGGCUCUGUCCCAGGCCUGGAAUCUAUCCUGGACCAGACACUGGACUAACUUCCACGUCUCCUUGGUAAAAUGGAUUGAUAAGGAUUCGAUUAGCAGGAAAUGUAAAAAGCCUAGAGUGUUGCAGAGCAGAGAGGUUUCUUUGUGCAACAAAUCCUGGCCUGGAAAUCAGAGAUCCACCUACCUACCUGCCUCUGCUUCAAGUGCUGUGAUUAAAGGCUCGGCUUUGGCCCUCUUUUUAAAAAUAACUUUUUUAGAUUAUAAUAUAAUUACAUCAGUUCCCUCUUCCAUUCCAAGCCCUUUCACAUAUCCCCCUUGCUCUCUUUCAAAUUUAUAGCCUCUUUUUCUUUAUUACAUAUAUACACACAUAUAUAUUUAAUCGUCUGAUUCUGUAUAAUGUUGCUUGCAUGUAUAUUAUUUCAUGGCUGACCACUAGGUAAGUAGUUGAUGUGUUUUCCAUCUGUUGCAAAGAGUUCUCCUGGUGAGGGGUGUGGACUACACUAAUCUGGCUGGACCCUGGACAAGGAUGUCUGCUCCUCUUGAUUUGCACAGUUUUGCGGGUCUUCUGCUCAAAAGAACAGUGAACCGUUUUUGCAGGUCGCCUCACACUGCUCACUAAAGUAGCCUCUUGGACUUUUAACAAAGACACUCAAUGGACAUCUAUUUUUUGUUCACAUCAUGCCAGGCUUGGAUUUUUCUUCUUUGCCAACACCAUCAUCGAUAGCCAAGGAUGGUGACUCACACCUGUAAUCCCAGAACUCAGGGUGCUGAGGCAGGAGUAUCAGUGGUCACAGGGGUCCAGACACAGCUCCAGCACAUGUGCACAGGUGCCCUCCAAAGCUGGAUGAACUGGAGUUCCAGGCAGCCGUGAGUCACCCGGUGUGGGCGCUUAACUGCGGAGCCACCUCUCCAGCCUCACAGUUAAUGUCUGUGCUGUUCUCGGGUCUCAGCUGGCAAGAAGCUUCAGCCAGAAUCCAGGGUAAAGUGUGCCUUUCUUUUUCAUGUCCCAUAAUUUUCUCCUUCUUAUCCUGCCUUAGGAAGAUACUCAAAGUUUAAAGGCAGCUUGGGCUAC
This is a long non-coding RNA of Psammomys obesus (fat sand rat), 1115 nucleotides long. RefSeq lists it as uncharacterized. The record is from RefSeq and is a predicted model, not a curated record. Lineage: Eukaryota; Metazoa; Chordata; Mammalia; Rodentia; Muridae. The transcript is spliced from 3 exons.